RNA transcript from Malania oleifera, 3801 nucleotides. It is a transcript of the gene named two pore calcium channel protein 1A, with no coding region annotated. The transcript has 25 exons. The record is from RefSeq and is a predicted model, not a curated record. NCBI's taxonomy places the organism in Eukaryota, Viridiplantae, Streptophyta, Magnoliopsida, Santalales, Ximeniaceae.
AAUCUUCAUAAUAUUACAAUUGAGCCAAACGCGCUCUCACUUUGGACUAAAGUCAAUAGGUGCAGCUCCGAUCCACCUUUCUUCGUCUGAAAGCGUCUCGCCUCCCACCCUCUUUCUCUGCUAGAGGUCUGGCAUCCAACCGUUGUCUGGCAUCGGCUUCUCUUUUCUUCUUCUUCUUCUUCUCCUUCUCUCUACUUGAAAGAAGAUGGAGAAAUCUCUGCUCGGCGGGGAGAGCAGCGGGAGCGGCACGGGUAAUUUGAGGCUGAAAAAUCAGAUGCGGGCGUUCGCUCGGAGGUCCGAUGCCAUCACUUACGGCUCUCGCUACCAGAAAGCGGCAGCUCUCGUCGAUCUGGCUGAAGAUGGUAUUGGUCUACCUGAGCAGAUUCUUGAUCAGUCGACCUUUGAAAGUGCAGCAAAGUUCUACUUCAUCUUUAUUCGAUUUGAUUUUCUUUGGUCCCUUAACCUUUUUGCCUUGAUAGUUUUGAAUUUUCUGGAGAAACCUCUAUGGUGUGCCAAGUAUGCUGCUGCUUCUUGCAACAACAGGGAUUACUAUUUUCUUGGGCAGUUGCCAUACUUAACUGGUAUUGAAUCUCUUAUUUAUGAGGGAAUUACUCUUGCAAUACUGAUGAUGCAUACCGUCUUUCCAAUUUCGUAUGAAGGUUUCCAUAUCUAUUGGAAAAACCGUCUAAAUAGAUUAAAGGUUGUUUUCCUAUUAAUCAUGGUCGCUGAUUUAUUAGUUUAUGCCAUCCAUUUGUCUCCAAUGGCCUUCUUUUAUGUUCCUUUGAGGAUUGCACCGUAUAUCCGAGUUGCCUUUUUCAUUUUGAACAUUAGGGAUUUACGAGCAAGUAUCGUCAUCCUAGGUGGAAUGCUUGGCACAUACCUAAAUGUCUUGGCUCUUGGGCUUUUGUUUCUUCUGUUCUCCAGUUGGUUAGCCUAUAUCAUAUUUGAAGAUACUCUGCAGGGAAAGACUGUAUUUACUUCGUAUGGUACCACAUUAUAUGAAAUGUUUGUUUUAUUCACUACAUCCAACAACCCAGACGUUUGGAUUCCAGCAUACAAGGCUUCACGCUGGUAUUGCCUGUUUUUUGUUCUGUACGUGUUAUUGGGUGUUUAUUUUGUCACCAAUCUGGUCCUUGCUGCUGUGUAUGACGGCUUUAAAAGUCAGCUUGUUAAACAAGUUGCUGAGAUGGAUAGUAUGAGGAAACGUAUGUUGGGGAAAGCCUUCAAUCUCGUAGAUGAACAUAAUGUCAUGUUUCUUAAUAAAGAGCAAUGUAUUUGCUUGUUUGAAGAACUGAACAAAUACAGGACUUUGCCAAAAAUACCCAGAGAAGAAUUUGAGCUUAUAUUUGACGAGCUGGAUGAUAGUCAUGACUUCAAGAUAAGUUUGGAUGAAUUUGCCGACCUCUGCCAUGCAAUUGCAUUAAGAUUCCGAAAGGAGGAUUCUCUAUCUUGGUUUGAGAAGUGUCCAUUUUAUCAUUCACCCUUAUCUGAACAGUUAAAAGGCUUUGUUCGGAGCCCCAAAUUCAGAUACAUAGUAGUUACCAUUCUCAUAUUGAAUUUGGCUGCUGUCAUUGUUGAAACAAUGCUUGAUUUAGAGAACAAUUCUGCUCAAAAGGUCUGGCAGCGGGUAGAGUUUGUUUUUGGAUGGCUAUAUGUCCUUGAAAUGGCUUUCAAAGUUUACGCACUUGGAUUUGAGAACUAUUGGAGGGAUGGACAAAAUCGCUUUGAUUUCAUAAUCACUUGGAUAAUCGUCAUUGGAGAAACCACAACUAUCGUAUUCCCCCAUGGUCCAACUUUUCUUUCAAAUGGCGAAUGGAUUCGUUACCUUAUUCUUGCAAGAAUGUUACGGUUAAUAAGGCUCCUGAUGCAUGUCCAGCGUUAUCGUGCCUUUGUCGCCACAUUCCUAACCCUCAUCCCGAGUUUAAUGCCGUAUCUUGGGAUCAUAUUUUGUGUUCUAUGCAUCUACUGCUCCCUUGGUUUACAGCUUUUUGGCGGGAUUGUAAAUUCUGGGAACCCUAUGUUGGAUGGAACAGUUCUCGCAGAUAAUGACUAUUUGCUUUUCAACUUCAACGACUACCCAAACGGGAUGGUCACACUUUUCAAUUUGCUAGUCAUGGGAAACUGGCAUAUUUGGAUGCAGAGCUACAAGGUUUUGACAGGAACGUCUUGGACUCUUCUGUACUUUGUGAGCUUUUACUUAAUAACAGUAUUGCUUCUACUGAAUUUGGUUAUGGCAUUUGUAUUGGAAGCAUUCUUUGCUGAAAUGGAAUUAGAGAUGUCAGAAAAAUGUGAAGAACAAUCCGAGGAUACAGAAGGAAAGAAGGAUCGACGCCGAUACGUUGGAUCAAAAACACGGAGUCAGAGAGUUGAUAUCCUCCUCCAUCAUAUGUUGAGUGCUGAGCUCUCUGAAACGCAGUGCUCCACUGAAUAACUUUGCCUCUUCGUUAUUCUGGUUCACACACAGGAUAUAUGUACUUCCACUGAAAGUCCACUUUGAAUUACCAUAAUGCCCUCUGCUUGUUUGUGCAAAGUUUAUUGGACCACAACCACCACCCGCUACCAUAGUUAACCCUACUGGCUGUUGCUCAACCAUCUCCAUCACCAGCCUGCGUUGCCGCCACCAUCACCACUAACUGCUAGCUACUACCUAGAACUGCUGCUAUCACUGCUCCACCACACCAAGCCACCAUCCGCCCUGGUACUUCUGCCACCCUUAGGCACCAAUCUACCACCACUACCUGCAGAUGCAUCCUCCACCACUAGCACCACACUCAGCUGCCACCAGUACCACCAGGACAACGAUCUGCUGUUGCUGUCAUCACCACCCACCCGUCGGCACUGAUAUUGCUGCUUCCACCAUUAUAACACUACCAUACCAUGUGUCGGAUGUUGCUGGCUUACUGCCACAAUUACACACUAUGAACCUAUUUCACUGUUUAUUAUUUCCAUUACUAAACAAUUUUUUGUCUUCAACAAAUGAGUGCUCUUUUUCAAAUUUCUUUAAGGAAAAAGAAAAAAACAUGGAGUUGAAAACUUGAAACUAGAAGAUAAAAGACGUUUUUCACAAUUAAACAGGCCUUUGUUGGCUCUUCAGCAAAUCAACUUCAGUAGCAGAGUACCUUCGGGUUUAUUCAUGUGGUUUCUGAGUUUCUUUUUCACGAGGAUGUGCAUACUAUGCCUAUUCAUUAAUUCAUAUGAAAUCCAUAUGUAUCAGCGGAGAUGACCAUUGAAUCCACAUGAAUUCUUAAUCUUUGAUCAUUAUUUGGGCAGGUGGUAUGAUCUCUCAAUGAAUUAGAGGAGUUAAGAGGGGAAUAUUAAGACUUGCUUUGAGAUCUCCAGUUCUGUAAUUAAUGGAAAACAUGUUUAAUGAAAAUACCUUCCAACAGGAGAGCUCUAUCUACUAUUGCUUCAGUGAGUUUGUCAAUGUUCCAUUUUGCGUGCGGGUACCGUGAAUGAGUUCGGAACAGCGUGCUUUAAAUGUUCAGUUGUAUACAUUUUGUACCUUAAAUGCAAAUCUCAAUUAUAAUUUAACAAUAUGUUUUUUAGGGGGUGGGGCAUGUUUAUUCAGUCACUGAAGCGUGUUAACAGCCUGCGGCAUCUUCAAGCGCUGUCCUGCUUCACUGCACUGCGCCGAGUCUGCAGCAUUAAGGAAUAAUCUUUGACAGUUUUAUAUACACCUGUCCCUCUCUCCUUACAUCUUGUCAUUUCUGUUAUGCAAGAAUAUUCUCUUAUUUUGUGUAUAAAUACCACGGCCAUGUAUUGAAUUAAAUCAAUGAGAAAACACAUAAUAUUUUUCUUUCC